RNAcentral lists this ribosomal RNA (253 nucleotides) under uncultured bacterium. Its description in RNAcentral is "partial 16S ribosomal RNA". It matches the Rfam family "Bacterial small subunit ribosomal RNA", at positions 524 to 776 of the family's 1533-position model. The record is from RNAcentral.
UACGUAGGUGGCAAGCGUUAUCCGGAAUUAUUGGGCGUAAAGAGCGCGCAGGUGGUUAAUUAAGUCUGAUGUGAAAGCCCACGGCUUAACCGUGGAGGGUCAUUGGAAACUGGUUGACUUGAGUGCAGAAGAGGGAAGUGGAAUUCCAUGUGUAGCGGUGAAAUGCGUAGAGAUAUGGAGGAACACCAGUGGCGAAGGCGGCUUCCUGGUCUGCAACUGCCACUGAGGCGCGAAAGCGUGGGGAGCAAACAGG